This 523-nucleotide ribosomal RNA is filed under the name Salmonella enterica subsp. enterica serovar Bovismorbificans. RNAcentral describes it as "partial 23S ribosomal RNA". It matches the Rfam family "Bacterial large subunit ribosomal RNA", at positions 1 to 564 of the family's 2925-position model. Lineage: Bacteria; Pseudomonadati; Pseudomonadota; Gammaproteobacteria; Enterobacterales; Enterobacteriaceae. The record is from RNAcentral.
GUUAAGCGACUAAGCGUACACGGUGGAUGCCCUGGCAGUCAGAGGCGAUGAAGGGCGUGCUAAUCUGCGAUAAGCGCCGGUAAGGUGAUAUGAACCGUUAUAACCGGCGAUACCCGAAUGGGGAAACCCAGUGUGACUCGUCACACUAUCAUUAACUGAAUCCAUAGGUUAAUGAGGCGAACCGGGGGAACUGAAACAUCUAAGUACCCCGAGGAAAAGAAAUCAACCGAGAUUCCCCCAGUAGCGGCGAGCGAACGGGGAGGAGCCCAGAGCCUGAAUCAGCAUGUGUGUUAGUGGAAGCGUCUGGAAAGGCGCGCGAUACAGGGUGACAGCCCCGUACACAAAAGCGCAUGUGCUGUGAGCUCGAUGAGUAGGGCGGGACACGUGGUAUCCUGUCUGAAUAUGGGGGGACCAUCCUCCAAGGCUAAAUACUCCUGACUGACCGAUAGUGAACCAGUACCGUGAGGGAAAGGCGAAAAGAACCCCGGCGAGGGGAGUGAAAAAGAACCUGAAACCGUGUACG